UCGGUACCUUGCUUUUAUCCUGAAAAUGACUUCAUGGCCGAUCCGAAAUACCAUGAGGGAUAUUGGGUUCCCUGGAUUCAAAAUCAAGAGAUAACGGAAGAACUCAAACUUCCUUCUAACACGAAGAUAUUUAGAUAUUCAUUUCUGUCGAUUUUUCUUCUUGCGCUAUAUUGUCUUUAUUAUCGAUAUAAGAAAAAGCGUUCACACAACAUAAGUCCAUAUUAGAUAUGAAAGAGGUUGAAAUGAAGUAUUUGAGAGUUAGAGAAAUUGAGAAAAUGUUAAGAAAAAUGUAUGAAAUAUUUUUGAAAUGUGUGCGAAAGUUUGAUAUUUCAUGUGCGUGAACUAGGUUUGAAUGCAUGUAAACAACUUCAAAUA
RNAcentral lists this long non-coding RNA (375 nucleotides) under Mytilus galloprovincialis (Mediterranean mussel). The record is from RNAcentral. Lineage: Eukaryota; Metazoa; Mollusca; Bivalvia; Mytilida; Mytilidae.